RNAcentral lists this ribosomal RNA (479 nucleotides) under uncultured bacterium. RNAcentral's name for it is "bacterial SSU rRNA". It matches the Rfam family "Bacterial small subunit ribosomal RNA", at positions 30 to 527 of the family's 1533-position model. The record is from RNAcentral.
AUUGAACGCUGGCGGCAUGCCUUACACAUGCAAGUCGAACGGCAGCACGGGAGCAAUCCUGGUGGCGAGUGGCGAACGGGUGAGUAAUAUAUCGGAACGUGCCCAGUCGUGGGGAUAACGUAGCGAAAGCUACGCUAAUACCGCAUACGAUCUAUGGAUGAAAGCGGGGGAUCGCAAGACCUCGCGCGAUUGGAGCGGCCGAUAUCAGAUUAGGUAGUUGGUGAGGUAAAGGCUCACCAAGCCGACGAUCUGUAGCUGGUCUGAGAGGACGACCAGCCACACUGGGACUGAGACACGGCCCAGACUCCUACGGGAGGCAGCAGUGGGGAAUUUUCCGCAAUGGGCGAAAGCCUGACGGAGCAACGCCGCGUGAGGGAGGAAGGUCUUUGGAUUGUAAACCUCUUUCUCAAGGAAGAAGUUCUGACGGUACUUGAGGAAUCAGCCUCGGCUAACUCCGUGCCAGCAGCCGCGGUAAAGUG